GACGAACGCUGGCGGCGUGCUUAACACAUGCAAGUCGAACGGAAAGGCCCUGCUUUUGUGGGGUGCUCGAGUGGCGAACGGGUGAGUAACACGUGAGUAACCUGCCCUUGACUUUGGGAUUACUUCAGGAAACUGGGGCUACUACCGGAUAGGAGCUCCUGCUGCAUGGUGGGGGUUGGAAAGUUUCGGCGGGUGGGGAUGGACUCGCGGCUUAUCAGCUUGUUGGUGGGGUAGUGGCUUACCAAGGCUUUGACGGGUAGCCGGCCUGAGAGGGUGACCGGCCACAUUGGGACUGAGAUACGGCCCAGACUCCUACGGGAGGCAGCAGUGGGGAAUAUUGCACAAUGGGCGGAAGCCUGAUGAAGCAACGCCGCGUGCGGGAUGACGGCCUUCGGGCUGUAAACCGCUUUCGCCUGUGACGAAGCGUGAGUGACGGUAAUGGGUAAAGAAGCACCGGCUAACUACGUG
This 468-nucleotide ribosomal RNA is filed under the name uncultured bacterium. RNAcentral describes it as "partial 16S ribosomal RNA". It matches the Rfam family "Bacterial small subunit ribosomal RNA", at positions 28 to 507 of the family's 1533-position model. The record is from RNAcentral.